CAAUAUGGGACAGCAACAGCAAGGAGAAGAGGGAUGCUUAUGCGAAAAUGAAGCAGAUAUCUGCAGUCCACAGAGAAAAUGACUGUUCAACAUCAGCUCUGGAUCGAAGCCCUGAGAAUAGUGCACUUCAAGAAAUAACUUACCUGAAGAAAAUACGCAGCAUAAUUUGGUUUGUAUGCUCCAGGGAAACUGGUGUUCUCCACAGCCUCUGAAGUUAUCACCUCCAGUUUAAGACUAAGAUUCCUGUUUGUUCCAAAUGUGUCCUGUGAAAAAUGACAGAAAUCCUAUCAAACUUCAUAAAAAUAUGAGAAGGAAACCAUCUCACGUCUUUGGGAAUUUGCAGAGCUCAUGGAACUGGAUCCAAGGCUUCAAAGAUUUCAUUAAAAGUUAUCUGUAUUCCCCAUGUCAUGUCAGAGAUGAUGAGCUGCAGCCCAGCCUAGUGGGAAAUGUUCCUCUAGUCCAAUAGCAACAAAUGCUCUGGAUUAGACAGUGACUGACCUGCCAAGGCGUUUCAUGUUCUUUUCCCUUAUAGGUUAGUACAAAACAUUAAGUACAGUUCUCUGUGCU
Cervus elaphus (red deer) is the source of this 567-nucleotide long non-coding RNA. RefSeq lists it as uncharacterized. Lineage: Eukaryota; Metazoa; Chordata; Mammalia; Artiodactyla; Cervidae. The record is from RefSeq and is a predicted model, not a curated record. The transcript has 3 exons.